Molecule: ribosomal RNA, 283 nt
Filed under: uncultured bacterium
Lineage: Bacteria
Description: partial 16S ribosomal RNA
Rfam family: Bacterial small subunit ribosomal RNA
Source: RNAcentral
UUCACCCUACGGGAGGCAGCAGGGAAGAAAGCAAUGACGGUACCUGACCAAGAAGCCCCGGCUAACUACGUGCCAGCAGCCGCGGUAAUACGUAGGGGGCAAGCGUUAUCCGGAAUUACUGGGUGUAAAGGGAGCGUAGACGGCUGUGCAAGUCUGGAGUGAAAGGCGGGGGCCCAACCCCCGGACUGCUCUGGAAACUGUAUGGCUGGAGUGCAGGAGAGGUAAGCGGAAUUCCUAGUGUAGCGGUGAAAUGCGUAGAUAUUAGGAGGAACACCAGUGGCGA